Molecule: non-coding RNA, 111 nt
Organism: Acanthosepion pharaonis
Lineage: Eukaryota; Metazoa; Mollusca; Cephalopoda; Sepiida; Sepiidae
Source: the annotation of a GenBank genome assembly
UACGGUCAUAUAAUGUUCGAAAGCCAGUUCUCGUCCGAUCACCGAAGUUAAGCUACGUUCAGUCUGGUCAGUCACUAGAUGGGUGACUGCUUGGGAAUACCAAGUGCUGUA